UUAUACAGUUCUAUUAGUGGUCCAGUUCUAUUAUACAGUUCUAUUAGUGGUCCAGUUCUAUUAGAGGUCCAGUUCUAUUAUACAGUUCUAUUAGUGGUCCAGUUCUAUUAUACAGUUCUAUUAGUGGUCCAGUUCUAUUAGUGGUCCAGUUCUAUUAUACAGUUCUAUUAGUGGUCCAGUUCUAUUAUACAGUUCUAUUAGUGGUCCAGUUCUAUUAUACAGUUCUAUUAGUGGUCCAGUUCUAUUAUACAGUUCUAUUAGUGGUCCAGUUCUAUUAGUGGUCCAGUUCUAUUAUACAGUUCUAUUAGUGGUCCAGUUCUAUUAUACAGUUCUAUUAGUGGUCCAGUUCUAUUAUACAGUUCUAUUAGUGGUCCAGUUCUAUUAUACAGUUCUAUUAGUGGUCCAGUUCUAUUAUACAGUUCUAUUAGUGGUCCAGUUCUAUUAUACAGUUCUAUUAGUGGUCCAGUUCUAUUAUACAGUUCUAUUAGUGGUCCAGUUCUAUUAUACAGUUCUAUUAGUGGUCCAGUUCUAUUAGAGGUCCAGUUCUAUUAUACAGUUCUAUUAGUGGUCCAGUUCUAUUAUACAGUUCUAUUAGUGGUCCAGUUCUAUUAGAGGUCCAGUUCUAUUAUACAGUUCUAUUAGUGGUCCAGUUCUAUUAGAGGUCCAGUUCUAUUAUACAGUUCUAUUAGUGGUCCAGUUCUAUUAUACAGUUCUAUUAGUGGUCCAGUUCUAUUAUACAGUUCUAUUAGUGGUCCAGUUCUAUUAUACAGUUCUAUUAGUGGUCCAGUUCUAUUAGAGGUCCAGUUCUAUUAUACAGUUCUAUUAGUGGUCCAGUUCUAUUAGAGGUCCAGUUCUAUUAUACAGUUCUAUUAGUGGUCCAGUUCUAUUAGUGGUCCAGUUCUAUUAUACAGUUCUAUUAGUGGUCCAGUUCUAUUAGAGGUCCAGUUCUA
Molecule: long non-coding RNA, 950 nt
Organism: Oncorhynchus keta (chum salmon)
Lineage: Eukaryota; Metazoa; Chordata; Actinopteri; Salmoniformes; Salmonidae
Exons: 4
Source: RefSeq, a predicted model, not a curated record